GGUGCUUAGACACUUCUCUCUUGUAGAGCGGCCCCUUCCUAUAUGAUGCUGGAGAAGGCAUCCUGAUGACCCUGUGACAUCUGUCCACCUCGGUGCUCAAGACCCGAGCGCAAUGUCCCAGACCCAGGACUAUGAAUGUAGAAGCCAUCAUGUUGACGGGCAGGAGUCCAGGAUCCCAGGAUCCAGCACCAGGUAAGGAAGCGCUGUGUACACCUGAGCAUUCCUGGCCUCAGGUGAGUGGGAAGGAAGGGUUCUUGGGGAGGUGGGUGCAGGACUCCAGGGGGGUCAUGCUCAUUCUCCGGGUCCUGAGCACCUGCACAGCUCCUCACAAGGCUUUGCCAUGGCUGACCUGUGCCUGCCUGUGGGAGUCCUGCUUUAUCCACCACAGCCUCUCACUGCUGCCUUGUCCACUACAGAGGCCACAUGCCCCACGUGGGAGCCCCUGUGCUCAGCAUGGUUCCCCAGGCCUUUCUGUAGGCAUUGGUCCACAUAGACGCAAUAGCCUUAGUACAUUAUUUUCAUUUUCCUAAUUUUCAGCUUUUUAUUAGGAAAUAUUGCACGCUUACCGAAAAGUUACAAGAAUAAGAACAAUCUGGGGAACACUCAUGUGCCCUGGCCCCACAUCACCUGCUCUUAGUAUUAAUUGCUCAAUCCCUUUUUCUGAGUCAUUCUGGAGCAGGUCCAUUUCUUAGGCCCCUGGCCCUUGAGUGUGUGUCCCCUAGAUAACCUGCCCUUGAGCCAGGACCCUUGCCAGGAUGAGCAGAUGUGCUGUUGACACACGGUCUGAUUUCCCCUGCUGUCAGCCCUGUGCCAGCCGAUUCUCUCUGUCCGUGGCAGCACUCCCUGACCCUGUGCAGUGCAGGGUUCCUUGAUGGAUUUUCUUCUGGCUUCUGUGUCUUUAGACUUUUCUGACCUGCAUGAUUUCUACAGCCUCUCCCUGUCUUUUGUGACCCAAACCCUUUUAAACAUGAUUGUCAUCCAUUCUUAAAUAGAACAUUCAAUAAGAGAGGUAGGGUUACAAAUUAAUCUAUAAGGUAUACUCAGCAGGACCUCAUUUACCUACUUGGUUUCUGUUUGUAAGAACUGUUGGUGAGGCUAGGGUUGUAGCUCAGUGGUUGCACUCACCUAGCAUGUGCGAGGCCCUGGGUUCAAUCUUCAGCACCAUAUAAAAGUAAGUAAAUAAAAUAAAGUCAUUGUGUCCAACUAUACUUACAAAAUGAUAAAUAUUAAAAAAAAAAAAAAAAAAAAAAAAGAAGAAGAAGAAAAAGAAGAGCUACUGUUGGUGUGGUUUCCAACUUUCCCCUCAUUCCUAUACAAAUGCAGUCCCAGCAUUUGUCUAAGAGAGGCUGAGGUAGGAGGAUCACAAGUUCAAGGCCAGCUUCAGCGAGUUAGCAAGACCCUGUCUCAAUAAAAAAAUAAAAAGUGGUAUGGAUGUCAGUGGAUAAGCGCUUCUGGGUUCAAUCCAAUCCCAAGUACCAAAAAAAAAAAAAAAAAAAAAGUCUCUGUGCUCCCCACGCAGUCCCUAGCAACUUCCUGUAAGUCAUUGCCUCUCACCAUCACAACUGUCCUCCAUUACUGCAGCUUCCCAGGCCAGUGUUGUGUGUUUCCCAGAAUCUGUUCCGCUGGGCCUGUGCAGUCACAUGCGCUGCUGCAGAAGCAGCCUGUUCCUGUGUAGCAUUGCUCCUUUUGGAGAUGGAUCUUCUGGUGAACUUCUGACGAGGAACACCUGUGAAGUAUGGUGCUGCCACGGCCCACAUAGGGCCUGUGCACUGCACCUGCCAGUCCACCAUGCCUCCCACAGGCAGCUCUGCUGGGGCCUCUGCUGGUAGCAUCUCAUGACUGACGAGGCCGGCAGAGAGGUACUGUGUAUCACGCUUCACCCUGUGCCAUACUCUUUUUCUCCUUUUCCUGUGGAGUUUUUAUUUGUCUGUGCUCUGUUCUGUAUACCAAGGAUUUGAGCCCUUUAUAAUUCAUAUUACAUAUGCCCCACUAAUUUGUCCAAAAAGCAGAAUCUUUUCUGCUUUACUCAUGGCAUUUUUUUCUUGUGUAGUUCUUAUGCAGCUGAACGGGCCAGAUUCAUCUUCCAGCGUGUCUGGAGUUUUAGUCCCCUCCAUCCCGACAUUGGGUUACGGUAUGUUUGGUGGUGGUGCUGGCAGUUCUGUUUGGGGGGGGUGGUCCUGGGGUUGAACCUAGGGCCCUGUGGUCCAAGGAGGCAUGUACUCCACACUGAGCUGCCCUGACCCCAGAGUUCCAUUUUUGCCCUUAUGUCUUAGAUCCAUUUGGGUUUAACCUUGAGUGAGGUGUGGACCCGGCUCUUUGUUUUCCAAACUGCUGCAGCUAUCCCAGCAUCAUGAUUAAAGACUGCCUUUCCUUGACCUGAGACCUCCACAUCCUCUGACCACUUCCUGGGUGUCUUUGAGGAGCUGGGGCUGCUUAAGCUCCUGUGUGACUCUGUUGACCUCUGUCAUGUGCAGGCUUCACUACCUGAUGGAGGCAGUUCCCGAUAGCACAGUGGGGUCUGGCACAGUUCCUCAGUGAGCUGGUCUUCCUGUGUAGUGCCCCACAUUCCCCUUAUGCUGCAGAGGGCCAGGCAGGUCAGCAGUGGCUGAUGGUGUUUUGGCUAUUUUUCCUUUUGUGUGUUUGUGCUGGGGAUGGAACUGAGAGCGUCACACACACUAAGCCUGCCUUCUAUCACAGAGCCACACCCACCCCCAAGCGUGGUGUGUCUCUUUAUCAUUGUAUUGCAAAAGUUCUUCUUUGUUGUGUUGUUUGUUUAUUUUGGUACUGGUGCUCAAACCCAGGAGAGCUCUACUACUGAGCCACAUCCCUAGCUCUUUUGAUUUUUUUUCAUUUCAGGGCCUCACUGAUUUGCUGAGGCUGGUCUUGAAUUUGCAAUCCUCCUCAGCCUCCUGAGUUGCUGGGACUACAGGUGUGCACCACCAGGCCUGGCUGCACAUGUGAUUUCAAUGCUUUGGAUCUGAGUCCUUGUCACAGAUACCGUCUGUAGCGCGUGUGCACUCCUGGUGCAUGGCUGUAUUCAUGUGGUGGUGGUGGUGGUCUGUGCUGGAGGCUCAUCUCUGUUGAGUUCAGUACCUCUGCUGCUUCUCUUGCUGCUCAUGUUUUGGGUGUCGUCGUCUAAUCCAGUACCAGCCCCAAGGUCAUGAAAAUGUACCCUCUUGUAAGCUUUAUGAUUUUAGCUAUUCUGUUGCAUCCUUGACCCAGUCUUCACUCUUUUGUGUGUGGCCUAAAGUGGGGUUACCUUCGCUUUCCUGCAGGGGUGUCUGCCUGUCCCAGCACUGUUGCUGAGACUCUCCUUUCCCCUGUCAAGGGGUCUUGACACUGCAUUGUUGGAGUCUGGGGAGCAGGGAAUGUGCCUGUCUCACCUGGUAAAUUUUGCCUGAUAUGUAUUUGGCGUUCACUGAAGUCAUUCUGGAAACAUUUGUCUAGACAGAUCAUUGUCUGAAAGUAGACAUCUCCAGAACAGGAGCAUUGUGAAGGGUCCUUUUGCAUCAGCACCCAAGGGAUUGCUGGAGAGGACCUGUUUCCUGCUGUCCUGUAGGGGCCUUUGUUUCUGCUGUCCUGUAGGACCCAGGGAUUGCUGCUUCUCUUACCCUUCCACCUUCCUUACCAGAUGAUUUUUUCCCUGUGCAGUUCAUCAUAAAUAUUCUUCUCACCAAAUAAGUCUUCUCAAACACUGCUCAGAUUAGGGCAGCAGGAGACUACCAAACUUCAGCCAUUUCCCACUUACAGGGUCCAGUCCCCACUGGUGGUGAAGCCCCGAAACUCCUUGGGCAGUUCCACAGCUGCCAGUUACGCUCUCCUCACCUGCUUAGUUUGGCACAGUUUAUCUGUCACCACCUACUGACAAAGCUCUUUCUCUGUGCAGUCCCCUUGACCUGGGGGACUGGCAGCCCCCACUGACCCGAUGCUCAACUGGACCAGACUACAGCCCCAGGACAGGAUGCGUGUUCUUCAAUCCAUAGUGCUGAUACCCCCCUUGCCCAUGAGGAGAGAUGAGCAAUCCCAGACCACAACCUGCACAUGCCACAACCACCAGCUGUGUCCCGCCCUAUCCUUAAGGUCCAGCUCCAGCCAGAGUUCCUGGAGCCUCCCCAGACUUGGUACCCCUCUGAGUUCUGAAGUCCCUUGCCUUGGAUGUCUGUGGGUCCUGCCCAUACCUGUCUGGGCAGUGACUCCCUGGGGCCCAGUGUUCUCUACACUUUUGCCUGCCUCUGUUUUCUCAGGAUCCUGGCUGAAUGCCAUCCCCAGGAGAUACCAAGAAUGUGCCUUUGAAAAGCCGGCUCUUGCCACUUGUGCAAGGAAUGCACUAAAAAGGGAACAAAACCUGUUCUCUGUCAAGUCAUGGUUAGUGCAUUAUAUUCACGUUUUAAAGAAAAAUAAGAAUUGUUAUUGCUGCUUUUAAGACUCAGAAUGUCAGUAGUGUGCUUUGAAAGCUUCUCUGUAUUCAGAUUCUCUGGGGAGUAUCCCAACUUUGUUCUGAUAAAAUCUACCACUGGCUAGGAGAGAAAGUGAGAGUAGCAGCCUCAAGGAGUGAAGUGGGACCAUGUGGGCAGCCCCUGCCAGCAUCCCAGGGCCAAGGGACACUGAGCCCAGGCAGUGGCAUUGAAUCUUAUCACAUUCACCCUUGAUCUGUCAUUGGUGUGCUCCCCAAGUUCUGGCCCCAGACCCUACACAGUGCUGCCAAAACCCUUGCCUCGCCUUCCCCGCCCCCUCCUCUGUCACCUUCUUUCCUGGAAAUGCUCCACCCAUCUAUCUGGAAGCUUCCGCCUUGCUCCCUUCAAACUAGCCAGGAGAACCUGGUCACCAAGUCUGGUCGGGCAGCAAGAACCUGGUCCUUCGAGUCUCUGCCGCAGGCACCCCAGCCUCCACCACGUCUGUCUUUACAUCACUGUCAGUGAAUCUGUCUUCUUGGAAGCCCCAGCAGACCUGCUGGGUGUUCUUUGGUCACAAUUGUCACUGCCCACCUGGGUCUGCGCUGACAGAGACAGGAUUCGACUAUCUUCCAGGAUGCAGCGUCUGCAGGGGAGGCUUGAGACCAUAUGCCUCUGGCCACAGCUGCAGCAGGGCUGUGGUCAUGGCAGCCCAUGGAUAUCCCUGGAAAUGAAGGGACCCCUUCAGUGUACCCUGAGACUCUACACAAUGAUCACUUCUGCCUCAGUCAUUGGCAGAAGUUGGCCUUAUGGUUGCUAGUGGACAGAAACUCAAAGACCUACAAAGGCAACUAAAGGCCACUCAAAUUACUGUGAUGGUCACAGGAGAUGGCCAAUCCCCAUGCACUUUUGGUUGCAUUAUUUAUUUAUUUUUGGUACCAGGGAUUGAAUUCAAAGGCAGUUGGUCACUGAGCCACAUCCCCAGCCCUAUUUUGUAUUUUAUUAGAGGCAGGGUCUCACUGAGUUGCUUAGUACCUCACUUGGUGGCAUCUUUUGCCAUUGACCUGUCUUCACAGCCAGGAAGCUCUCUCCCAGCCCACAUUGCUCUGCGUUCUGCAGUAUGGCCAGUGAGAAAGGCCCACAGUUGCCUCCCUGUGCAGCCAGGGGGCUGAAGGGUUAGCACUCAGUGUAUGGGUCAGGACCCUGGGAGUGGUGGCACUCAUGUUGGGUGAAUGUGCUGCAAAUUCAGUCAGCGGCCAGGUAACCAGAAGCAGGGGCCAGUCUCUAAGGCAAGAGUGACACAUGUGUGCCUUGCAUAUGUGGAGCUUCAGUGUGUUUUGGCUUCUGAGGGGUCAUGCUCCUCUGCCUGCCACGCAUCUCUCUCAGCCUCCCGAGUCUUUUGGAGGAGCGGGCUUGACAGCCCUACCCCUCAGGCAUCUGGAUGCACCUGGGUCCUUAAAUCUCCCUCAGAGGCAUCAGCAGGUCUGAGUUCAUCUUGGAUGUCUCCACCGUUGGCCACAGGGGAGGACACAGCUUUAGGACUGCAAAGCCACAGUCCCAGCCCUCACAUGAGCGUGUGCAUGCCAUCCUGGCCCUAUGCUCUGGCUGCUCCCAGGGUCCUCCCUGCCUCUGGUGCACAGGAGCCCUGUGGGCUGUCCUGGCUCCUGAGUUCCACCUGACCUGGGGCGGUACAGGUGCUUCAGGUGCCUGUCAGAAGAGGAGGGGUCUUCCUGGGAGGCUCCCACAGCCGUGCUCCUUGUCUCUGUCCCAACAGCAAGGGGACACAGCCCAUGUAGCCCCUACCCUAGGUACGAAAUGAGGCAGACUGUCCUCGAUGUGUAAUCUGCAGGAUGUAAAAUUAACAUUUUAAAGUAUGGACAUUGCUUGCUUUUUAAAAAUUAUCCUUUUAUUUGAAGAAUGUUAGGUUGAGUGGCAUUUGCCAAUGUAGUGCUAGGGGCAUUUUAAAAUUUUUAUCUCUUUUUAGUUGCAGAUGGACACAAUACCUUUAUUUUGUUUGUUUAUUUAUUUAUUUAUUUGUUUUUAAAUAUUUAUUUUUUAGUUAUAGGUGGACACAAUAUCUUUGUUUUUUAUUUUUUUAUUUUUAUGUGGUGUUGAGGAUUGAACCCAGUGCCUCACGCGUACUGGGCGAGUGCUCUACCUCUGAGCCACAACCCCAGCCCCUGUUUGUUUAUUUUUAUAUGGUGCUGAGGAUCAAACCCAAUGCCUCACACAUGCUUGGUUAGCACUCUACCACUGAUCCAUAACCCCAGCCCCGCCAGGGGCCUUUUGGCCCCCUGCACCAGCUCUGAUGGCUGUGACUUUGUGGGUGUGUGGCAGACUCCUAGCCCACACUGGUCUGUCGUCCUCAGCUGAAAUCUGCGCCUCUAUUCAGUAUUCCUUCCUAGUUCUCACCUAAAGUCCCUCCUGUCUUCAGAUCCCAUCUGGCAUGUGUUCACCGUGUCUCCUUGAUCUCCACUGGACUGAGAGGGUUCAUUAGGCCUUCCUGGGUUUUGUUUUUGUUUUAAUACUGUGGAUUGAACCCAGGAGCUCUCUACCACUGAGCUACACCCCCAGCCCUUUUUAUUUUUUUUCUUUUGACACAGAGUCCCACUAAGUUGCUGAGGCUAGCCUCCAACGUGAGAUCCUCUUGCUUCAGCUUCCCAAGUCGCUGGGAUUACGGGGUGGGCUACUGUGCCCGGGUAGACUUUCCCAGUGUUUCAUGACUUUGACAGUUUUGAGGAGGACUGUCCAGGUAUUUUGCAGAAUGUCCCUCCGUUUGAAUUUGUCUGAUGUUUUUCUUGGGGAGGAUGGCCCCACUGUGUCAAGAGCUCAGUUGUCAACAGGCUUGUCACCGUUGACACCAGUGUUGAUGUGCUGGUGAGGUUGUGCUGUCCGAGGUCCUCUGAAAGGCUCCUUCGCCUCUCUGUCAUGCUCCUCAGAGGAAGCCCACAACUCGGGUGGGGACUGUGUGUGGGCUCCCUGAGGGGAGGACGGGCCUCCCCUCCUCCUGCAAGUUACUGGGACUUCUCUGGGGAGUUGUCUGCCUCCAUCUGAACACUGACACUGAUCCAACUCUUGCAUCCCGUGAACUGUCCUGUGUCCUGGCUCUGAUCACUGGGGCUCCUGUGACCUGGGACGUACCCCUUCUUUGGGGUCAAGGCCCCUUUGUAUUCCCUGCCCCGGGCCUGGAAUUUGCCACUUCUCUGAGGAGCCCUGCCCUGGGUGAGAGAAACCUGGACUCUGGGCUGUGGUCCAGUCUCCUUGCUCAAGCCUCUGCUGCCUAAAGCCAUCUGUUCCCUUGACUGUGCCCCUCAGAGGCUUGCAGAGUUGAGUGUGCAUCCAAAAGCGCCUGGCAGAGCAGCCUGGUUUUCAUCUCAGUGAGGUGUGAGCAUUCCUAGGGGCUAACCUGCUCUUUGCUGAGAGUGGCAGUGGAUUCUCCUCAGGGGAUAUAGCUAGGCUUGGGUGUCGCCACCAACCUGAGUGCCAUCCUUGCUGGCUGGUGUUUUCACCCUGGAUGGGGUUCACCGGUGGGCUUCCAGGCACUUGUGCUCUGCCCCACCUGGCCUUGCAGCCACGCAGGCCUCCUGUGGCUCCUCCACCCCUGUCCACGCAGGCCCUCCUCUUGGCUGCUAGGGAAGGGUCAGGGCUGCCGAUGUGGGAAGGUGAGGUUUCUUCUUCUGUCCUAUGGUCAAUUUUGUGGACUGGUCCUGCCAGCUGGGACCUGCCACCAUCAUUGUCAGCUUUGUUUGCUCAUGAACCUCACAGGGAGCCCCACCUCAUGCCGUGCCCAGUUCCUCAGAUCGUGCAUUGUGGGCUGAUGUGCUGGGUAUGGGCGCCUGGAUGGCCCCUGCUUGUCCCAGGUGUUCUGCUGCUGUGAGCAUGAGUGCCAUGUCUGCGGGUUUCUGCCAGGGCUUCAGCUUAAGGAGCAGGGCCAUCUGUGCCUAUUCACCUUCACAUGGAGCACAGAGCCCCAGGUCUGUGCUGUGGGCAUUUGGGCCUCUUUGGUGGGGCCAUCCUUGUGUUUACAGUGCCCUUCUGUAUGAUUCUGCAUUUUCCUGAGUUCUCUCAUUCCCUGAUGGUGAUGAGUGCCUUCUACCAUAAUGUGCAUGCAGUAUUUGGUGCUACUUUGCUGUUUGGGGAAGUUGCUAAGUUGCUGGGGUUUUGUUAAGUUACCCAGGCUGGCCUUAAGCUUACAAUCCUGACCCAGCCUCCUGGGUCACUGGGAUUAGAAGCAUGUGCCAUUGCUCCAGUCCGCCUGGCUUUUGGUCAUCUUCACCUUCUGCAUGCUUGGCUAGGAUUUUUAUUGGAUUUCAAUCCUUAUAAAGGUGAGCAGAGGUGUCAGCCACUGUGGUCUUUCUAGGGGACCCUGUCAGGAAUGAUGUGUGCCAUCCUCGGGGUAGACUCUUUCCCUGGUUCUUUCCAUGGGUUUUAUCUGGGCCCCUUCCUGUGGCAGGCUCCGAGUCUUCCUCCAGCCUGCAGGUCAGUGCUGUGCUGGGCUUCUGGAGUGAGCUCAGUGUGAGGGAGUUUGUGUCACUGGGGCAUCCAUGGCAUCCGUGUCAAUGACAGUUUUGUGGCCACUACUCUCUGUUGAUGGAGCAAUGCUUGUGGCCUAGAAAACCCCUGCCCCUGUGCCCUAGGGUGAGGGUCCCCAUAGCCACAAGUCUGUAAGGAAAGCUCUGAGAUGACCCUGAGCUUGGUUAUUGAGGUGGGGCUGGGUUAUUGAGGUGGCGCUCUGAGUUUCUAGGGAGAGCUCCAUCUCCCAAGUUGUGGCUGAAAGACAUGCAUGGUGCCCUGCAGGGGGGCCAGGACCUUGGGGAGGCAGGGGUGGUUCGAGCAGUGGGCAGGGCCAGUGUGAGUUUUCAGCAGUGUGUGAGCCAUUAUGCAGGCUGGAGGGGUGGGAGGAAGGAAGACCCAUCGUGGUCACAUUUGGGUGCCAGGUUUGAUCUGGUCACAAUCUCAAGGGCAUGGCUGUGCUGUACGGUGCAGGCUUCAGGAAGAGGGGCACCCACCCACCCUUCUUCCGAACACACUGACUGUGGCCAUUUUUCUUUAUUUGUGUGAUACUUGGAUCUUUUUUCCUGGGUAAAGUGGGCUGUGUAGGGGCCCAAGAGAAUGCAGAUUUAAGACUUGAGGUGUGUCCUGGGAGAGGCACAGCCAGCAACGUCCUUGGGCUGGUGCCACUUGAAGCCCCAGCCUUCCCUCCACACAGUGCUAAGCUGCAGAGGGAAGAAGAGAAGGUGGGUCCCUUUUCCAGCUAUGGGAGGUCUCACAUUUGUGUUGCAAGAUGAGGGGAAGGUUUCCGGGGAGGAUCACUGGAACAGGUGGGCACAGGACCACACAGAGCAGCACAGCUGCAGUGUGACUUUAGAGGGAGUAGGAUCAUUCAGACUGGUUGUGUGGAGCCAGGUGCUGGGAUACCCAACCUCACCCUGGGUGCCAUGGCAUGCUGAGUGCUCCAUGGAGUUGUUCACUGGCUGUGGAUGCAGAGAAGGAAGGGAGCCAGGGAGCUGUGGUGCUGGCCAGAAGUGGUGAGAGUCUCUGCUGUGCUGUGAGUGGGGGUGGAGGUGUACAGAGAGGUGCAGAUUGAGGGACUAAACCACAGAACCAGGCAAGGCCCAGAGACAGACCGCCGGCACAGAGCAUCUGAGGCUGGAACAAGCACCAGCAGCUGGCCAGUGCCAAUGGAGUAUGCUGAUGCCUGUCAGUGCUCGCGCCCUAGACCUAGCCCACAAACGAGAGGGACCUGGGGAUGACCAGUGCUCCCUGCACCAGUCAGUAGGCUGAGGGAAGAUCCCACACAGGUACCCAAGGUUGUGAAUGGAAUUCAAGGACCAAUUCUAAGAUUCAUAAAGAGAGAAGUGUUAUGAAUAGCCAAGGGCUGGGUGUGAUGGUGACCCCUGUGAUCCCAGAGACUUGGGAGGAUAGGGCAGGAGGAUACAAAUUCAAGGCCAUCGAGGGCGAUUUAACGAGAUCCUUUCUUAACAUGAAAAGGGAUGGAGGAUUUAGCUCAGUGAUCAAGCACCCUGGGGUUCAAGCAGUACCACAGACAUAAUUUUUUUUAAAUAUUUUUUUNNNNNNNNNNNNNNNNNNNNNNNNNNNNNNNNNNNNNNNNNNNNNNNNNNNNNNNNNNNNNNNNNNNNNNNNNNNNNNNNNNNNNNNNNNNNNNNNNNNNNNNNNNNNNNNNNNNNNNNNNNNNNNNNNNNNNNNNNNNNNNNNNNNNNNNNNNNNNNNNNNNNNNNNNNNNNNNNNNNNNNNNNNNNNNNNNNNNNNNNNNNNNNNNNNNNNNNNNNNNNNNNNNNNNNNNNNNNNNNNNNNNNNNNNNNNNNNNNNNNNNNNNNNNNNNNNNNNNNNNNNNNNNNNNNNNNNNNNNNNNNNNNNNNNNNNNNNNNNNNNNNNNNNNNNNNNNNNNNNNNNNNNNNNNNNNNNNNNNNNNNNNNNNNNNNNNNNNNNNNNNNNNNNNNNNNNNNNNNNNNNNNNNNNNNNNNNNNNNNNNNNNNNNNNNNNNNNNNNNNNNNNNNNNNNNNNNNNNNNNNNNNNNNNNNNNNNNNNNNNNNNNNNNNNNNNNNNNNNNNNNNNNNNNNNNNNNNNNNNNNNNNNNNNNNNNNNNNNNNNNNNNNNNNNNNNNNNNNNNNNNNNNNNNNNNNNNNNNNNNNNNNNNNNNNNNNNNNNNNNNNNNNNNNNNNNNNNNNNNNNNNNNNNNNNNNNNNNNNNNNNNNNNNNAAGAGACAGCCUGGUGCCUUCCUCAGUAUCAAAACAAAACAGAUUCAGGGCUGCUGCCUGAGGCUUGGACAGGCAGCAGUGACAGCUAUGCACCUUUCUGCCCCCCAGUUAAGUUCUUUGCUUCUUCCCAUGUGGCAUCAGGGCUUAUAGGUGCAGGAUCCACCUGCAGCAGCAUUACUUCCCAGGAAGGCAGAUGCAAAUGCAGACAUUUGUCUGUUUUCUGAGCAGCCCUAUCCCUGGACUGGUUCCACAGUCAUUGGAGAAAGACCAUGGAUGUGAUGAAGGUCCCCUUACUCUGGGCCACCAUAGGGUCAGUGAGUGAGGGAUGAUGGAGGAACCAGCCAGGCAGAGGCAGUGUCCCCACAGAGAGGCAUUCCAAGGCUGUAGAGGGUUAUUCUUUCCAUGUAGAAACUUGGAAGCAGCUUAAAAAUGCCAGAUGUCACCCAAGCACACCCUGACUUCAAACACACCUGUUUUCAAAUGGUCUUGUCUGAUGCUUUAAUUUCCAUUAUUCACAGGUUAUCUUUUUAAUUAGAAAAAAACAUUAUAAGGCUGGAGGCUGAGCUCCCCAGUAGAAAGCCCCCACCCACCCCACCCCACUGUGUAGAAGUGGUGGUGUUCCUGCUCAGCGAAAGGUCACCUGGGACUGGUGGGCUUGGGAUGGCUUUGAGAGUGGGGUCCUCACUCUCACCCGUGUCCCCACAGGCUGGAGUGGGUGGAGAUCAUCGAGCCACGUACCCGGGAGCGCAUGUAUGCCAACCUGGUUACCGGCGAGUGCGUGUGGGACCCUCCGGCCGGAGUACGCAUCAAACGCACCAGCGAGGACCAGUGGUGGGAGCUCUUUGACCCCAACACAUCGCGCUUCUACUACUACAGUGCCGCCUCGCAGCGCACUGUGUGGCACCGCCCGCAGAACUGCGACAUCAUCCCGCUGGCCAAGCUGCAGACGCUGAAGCAGAACACAGAGUCCCCUCGUGCCUCGGCUGAUAGCAGUCCUGGCCGUGGCAGCCGCGAUGGCAGCACUGGCUCCUCACUGGAGCCCGAGCUUGAAGCCACGGAGAGGGCACAGGAACUGCCCACAAGGGCAGGGAGGCCCGCAGCACUGGGGACCCCAAAGGAGGAGAGUGGCAGGUGAGGAGGGUCGGGGCUGGCCGGCGCUGGGUGGUCCCCCUGGGAGGGGGUGGCGUGGGGCCUGAAUGUGGCUGCCUGGCCGCAGCUCCUGCCUCCUGGCUCUCCACUUGUGAACGGUAAUGAGGGCUUGGGGUUUCUGGCGGGUGAGGGGAUGGCUGUGACCCAGCUGAUGCACAUUCUGGCUCCUUCCUCCCCAUUUUGCUCAGGACCUGCUCUUUGUUGACACUGUCCUUAGUCACCUGGAUUCCUAGAUCCAGGAGCUCAUUAGAGAAACAGAACCUGCUAGGCCCAGAAAUCCUGGUGAGCUGUCAGGAGGGCCCUCCAGUGGGUAUUUUCCUGGCUAAUAGAGUCAUGACUUUGGUACUUGACUUCUGUUUGUUGGAGGGUUGCCCUUCCUUGGCAUAGCCUGGGGACUGAUUCUCCUGAAUCCCCCAGGAGGGGGCUGCUGCUGUUAUUCUCAUUGUACAAGUGAAGAAACAGGUAGCUCAGGUGCAGGACCUUACUUGCAUUGUCAGGCAGAUUGAUCUGCAGUGGGAGCCUGUGGUCAGGGUCCCCCAGCUACAGAGGCCACCAGGUGUGUGUCUGCUUGGUCACAGACAUUUUUGUUUUAUGCCUCAUCGGGAGCAGUUUCUUGUGUUGUGCAUCCAGCCGCUGGCCUUUUCUUCUUCGGGGCUGACCCUCCGUCAGUCCCUUUCAGGUGUGAUGUUCAUGUAUAGAGUUUGGAUUUUGUUUUGCAUGUUCCAUGCCUCUGCACGAUGUGCUGGGUCUGCUUCUCACUCUGAACACAGGGAGCACAUGGAACCAGCUCUUGCUGCCCUUCACCGCGGACUCCCCUGUCCUUGUCAUUCUGGCUCAGCUUAUCCCUGGUUGGUUGUUGUGAGCAGGAACAGGGUCCCUGAGGGUAAACACAGCAGAUGAGAGGGUGAGCAGCCCCAGCAGGGCAUAUGGCAUCCUAAGGGAACAGCAGGGUGAUGAGACUGCUGUUCUUCAUAGACAGAGGUGCUGCCAGACUUGGACCUGGAUUGCACAUACACGAUUUUAAUUGAGCAUAUUUGUCACUUGGCAUUUACCAGAUCCUGUUAGAUUGUUCUCCUGGUGUGUGUCUUUUAUCAGGCAGUGCCUUGCAGGUUGGUCACACCUGACUGAAGGUUAGGCAGAAGCUCCUCAACUGCAGUCAAGUAGGUCUUGAAACAGAAGUUUCCGUUAUGCUUGCACAUGCAUCAGAGUCAGAAAGAUUCUGCUGGGACUAUAGCUUCAGCUUGGAAAACACCUGCUACACAUGCGUGUGGGAAUGGGUCAUGCCUCUGGUAAUGUUCACAGGGUGGUAUGUGGAUAAAGCAGCUCAACGUUGCUUGUGACUGAGACAUUAGUUGUCUUUGCAGUGACUGCUGUAGUGUGUUUCACAGGCUGUCACCAUUUGCCUUGUGAUUUUAGGCUGAAUUCAUUAAGAAACGUUACCAAGAGUCUGCAACAAAAACUAAUCUCCAAAGCCACUCACAGUGUUUAAUAGUGAUCAAAAGAAGUUUUUCACAUUCAGAAAAUUUGACUCAACCCUGAGUUUUUAAAAAAAAAAAUCAUAAUAAAAUAUGUGGCUCCCUGGCUGCUGGGUUGCUGUGUGACAGGAUGUUCAGCUGCUGUCUUUGACCAAAAUAUCCAUGGUACUUAUGAUGGCCAAGUCCAGGGGAUUGGCUUAUGAUGGAUUCAAGUGUUUUCUGCAAAGUACCUACGAAUGGACAGCAAGUAACCCUAGGCUUAUGUUAUCACAAGCUUUGUAAGUGGCCAGCCAAGCCUUUGCCUGGGCCACAUAUGCUCCCAGCACAAUAAUUUGUGACUCCACUUAAUCUCCAGGUGUGCCAAAUUAAUGUUUUCUCAGGUAAUUUUAAGACAGGACCUCCUGAAGUUUCCCAGGCUGGCCUCAAACUUGUGAUCAAUCCUCCUGCCUCAACCUCCCAUUGUCACUGGGACACCACCACACCUGACAUCCCCAGCCCUUUUUAUCUUUUUAUAUUUAUUUAUUUAUUUAUUUUCGUGCCAGGGAUCGAACUCUAGGGCACUCGACCACUGAACCACAUCCUCAGCCCUAUUUUAUAUUUUAUUCAGAGACAGGGUCUCACUGAGUUGCUUAGCGCCUCACUUUUGCUGAGGCUGGCUUUGAAUUUGUGAUCCUCCUGCCUCAGCCUCCCAAGCUGCUGGGAUUACAGGCGUGCGCCACCACAUCUGGCCCUUUUUAUUUUUUAUUGAAGACAGUGUUUUGCUAACUUGCCCAGGCUGGCCUUGAACUUGCGAUCCUGCUGCCUGUGCUGCCUGAUUGGUUGGUAUCAUAGGUGGCAUCAAGGGUUCUUUGAUUAUUUAAUUAUUAAUAUAUAUUAGUUUGAUCAUAUGCCUUAUGAAUAUCUGUCAAGAUAAAUGCUCACUCUGUCACCUGCUUCUUAGAUCUCUAUUGAGUGUGCCAAGCUUGGCACUCAGGCACACACAGCCCCAUGAGGGUCUUUCUAGCUACGCUUCUUCCUUAGGCCAUCCCAUCAGUACUGGUUGAAGCUGUGACUCUCACUGACCCAUCUCUGGAUCCUGAGAGCAGCAGCUCCCAUCCCAGUGGUUCAGGUUCCUGAAACACUAGACAAGGCUGGUUUCCUGUCCUGGCAUGUGGCCUUUGGAUGGGUCACCAUGGGCUGACCCUGUGGGAGGAGGCAGGUGCAGGGCAGAAGAAAUACCCAACAGCAUUAUGAGCAGAAGCCAGGCCAUGUCCUCCCUAGUCAGCUGAAGGGCACUUAGGUUCACAUCUUUUCCAUUCUCCUGUGUUUCAGUUCGUCACCACCAGGCGUAAUCCUCGAGAAGGACUAUGAGGUUUACCGGGAUUAUAGCACGGAUGGCCAGCUGCUUCACUACAGGUAGACCCCUCUACCUCCCCAUAUCCAUCCACUAUCCCGAGAUGGACUCUUGGGUGGGCUGGCCUGGGGCACCUGGAGCAGAGUCUGACUCAGCAGAAAGCCGGGGCAGUGCCCGCCCUAUGGUGGCUUUGGAGGCUGCCAAAAUGGCUUGGUAGCCCCGUCUGGGAAGACUCUUGUCGCUGCCCAGAACAGAUAGCUGUGGGUCCUGGGUGCGGCCUUUGUCCCCCAUUGGAAAAGUAAAGUAUGAAGGUCCCUGGCAUGUGGUUGACGCCUGGGUCACACUGGCUACUCGUGUCAGAGUGCUUUUCAAUCCUAGUCCGGAAGAUCCUGUUAGUCCUGCAGGGGAGUGGGCCUCGGCUCACUGUGCGGAGCUGGAGGACCCUGAGGGCCAGCCCUCUGCCCACUGGUCUUCCAUUGCCUCGUGACUGGUUGGCUGUAGGGUCUCAGGGCCAGGGUCAGUGAUGUCCCUGGAGUGACCUGGCAAUGGUGCUGCAGAGGGUCGAAGGCCUGAGAGCCUAGGCUCCUCCUCAGACAGUGGUCUCUCUCUCAGAUUCGUGUUUGUGGAACAUCAAGAAGGGCCUCGAGCUGCCCUGCCCAUACUGUGACCCAUGACUAUGGCAUGCUCUGUGCUCCUCAGGCUUCAUUCCCCGUCAUAAGAUGAGUCUAGCACUGUGACCCAGCACAUUCCUGGUGGCUGCUCAUCCUCACUGUGGUGAGAUUGAUUUUGGCUCUGGCACAGGCCUAAGCUUCCCCACGACCCCUGCAGCACUUUCCUGGACUGUAUGUAUGCUCUAUAUGGCCAUGUGCCCACCUGGCCUUUGGCUGAGCAUUGUCACAACCCUGCUAUCCCUGGGGAGCCAUUGUCCUUUAAAAGAGCCUGGCAGCAUCCCCAUUGUCACAGUAGGCACCUGCAGAGCCUUCAGUGAGGUGGGUCCCAAAUAGGACAAAGAAGACCCUCUGGGCCUUUCAGGUAUCACAGAGAUGGGUAGCUGUUCCAAUGUUCUCCCACUUGCCAAACCUCUCUGGCAGCUGAGCCGCCCUCAGCCCUAUGGGACCUCCUCUAGCCACAUGAGCUGAUGAGUCUGGUCUUUGCUCUGGGGCUCCUUGCCCCUAGCCCCUCAGCCCUCUGGUGGCCACUGUUCCUGUGCCUGUUGCUCGUCUUGGCAGCCCCCAGCCUCUCACCCUGCUAAUGAUGUUGCCUAUCAGAGACCCCACUCAGACCCCUGGUGUGGUCCACCUGCUGGCUGGACCAUCCAGCACAGGACAAGCAGUUGCAUUUGUAAGUAAAUAAAUAGUGAUUGGAGAAGUAGACCAUCCCCAGUGUUGACCUCUGGGUGAGGUACAUCUGAGACCCACUGGGCUUAGCUGCACAGAGGCAACCAGCAUGUCUGCCUAGGUGGGGCCUGCUCCUGAAACUCUUGAGAGUGCUCUGGCCCUCGGCCAGUGUGGUGCUGCAGCCUGGUGUCAUCUGUGACCUGCUGGGGGCAGUUCAAUGCCAGGCAGCUGAGCCAUCUCCUCCUGCCCCUUCUACCAUUACUGAGACCUUGGGACAGAGACCUGGCGAUAUCUGGAAGACGAAGCAGGUCCACGGGAGGGCUGCCAACAUGUGUGCCAGCAGAUGUUGUAUUCUAUCAGGGAGGUGGAGGGAGGAGGUCAGACCCCCUGCUGAGACGUUCAGGAUCCUUUCUGCUGAGAAUCUGUAUUCUGUGUAUCACCUGAGCAUCACCUGAGCAGACCUGGACUGGCACUCACAGAUCAUAGCCUGCUCAAAAGGGAGAUACACAUGCCCAUGCUGACCCCCCAGUUCACUUGUGCCACAUAGCAUGGGCAGAGCAAGGCUCCUUGGAGGUGACAGCAUCUCCCAGGUGGAGUGUGCCAUGAGGAGACCCAUCCACUCACCCACCUGCCCAGCACCCCGCACGAGGAGGCCUCAAUGCAGACACACUGGAGGCCGGGUGAGCUGCCUGGCUAUGCAGUCAGUCCUGUGUGCCCAUCUGGCCUUGAAGUCCCAGAGCUGGCACUUCUCUCCCAAGCUGUCCCCGGUGGUGCAGAUGGUGUGAUGGGAAGUGGGAUGGAAGGAAUCACAGUCAUAUGAACACAUUAUUGAGAGGAAGCCAGGGUGAUCCACGCUGAGAGAGGUGAAGCUAUGCCGCUGCUGAGCCUGGCGGGAGCAUUCUGGUAUUCCUGCGGCCUGGGACUGCCUGGGACAGCAGGCCUGACCCCAGCACUGAGGCUCAAGGAGUGCCACAUCCUGGCCGCAAGAGUCUUUGUUGGGCCAGGUGUUAGUCUUUGGGAUCCCCGUGCUGGGGCCAGCUGUGGGUUUCUUGGGGAGAACGAAAGUUCCAGAGACAGAGCCCUAUCAGAGCCAACUCAGGCCUGGGGUGGGGACAGUUUGGGGAGAAAGGAAUAGUAGACCUGAGAAAGAUCUAGAAGGUAAAGGAAUGUGGGGGAUCAUGUGAGGGAAUGAAGAUGUGUCCCAUGAGAGCCCCCAAUGGGAUGUGGGGGUGGGCACACUUGGAGCUCAGCCUCCAGAGAGACCUUAGAGCAGCCUGCAGUUGCCUUUGAAGUGAUGCACUUACCAGAGAGAGUAGGAAGAUCAGAAAUAGCACCAGCAACUGAGGAGGCUGAGGCAGGAGGAUCCCAAGUUCAAGGCCAGUCUCAGCAAUUUAGCGAGACCCUGUCUCAAAAGAAAAAAAAGGGCUGGGCUGUGGCUCAGUGGUAUGCCCUUGCCUUGCAUGUGGAAGGCCCUGGGUUCAGUCCCCAGUACAGGUGCCUCAUAUCAGAGGGACAGUACAGGGUCAGCUGGCAGGACUGAGGAGGAGGCACCCCUGAAGCACUAGCGACUCUGUGCGGAGGGGAGGCAAGAAGGGAACUGUCCAGGAGCAGGCUGUGCCACCUCAGAGGUUGUUCAGAGAUCAGGGCCCUCAGCAGGUCAAGGGCCGGGCAGCCCCCAGGUUGUGAGUGAAACCCCUGGCCACCAGCCCAGGCAAGAGGAGCCAACAGAGGUGGGAGCUGCGGAACGGAUGGCCAGAUGGUCACUUUCAGGGAUUGUUUCUCCGUAUGUCGUGCAAGCACAACUCUGUUUGGACUCAGGCUGCAGUUGCUGGCCUGCCCUUGUCCUGCCAGGCCUCUUGCCUCAGCAUGGUAGAGGGAGACAUUCCAGCUUUGGUUCUAGUUCUGGGGUUUGGCUUUGUGCAGGACCUCUCCAUUCUUCCUUUGAAAUAGCCUUUGGGGAAAUUGCCCUGCAGGGCCCGGAACAGAAUGAGUCCUUUGACCCUGGCUAGCCUCCCUUUUGGCAUUUCCAGAGGCGGUGGCUGUGCCAGGGUUUCCUGCUCCCUCACUGUCGAAACCAACCCGUGAGGCAGAGAUAGGGGUCUUUCUGCCCCUGUCUGCUCUCUGGUGCCUUCACCUGUCAGAGCUGUCAUUGGAACCAGGGAGCUGAGGAGAAGGAUGUGCCAGAUAUGGGGACAGUCUGGGUUUAGGAGGAGGGAAUGUGGGGGGAAGGCAGACGCACCCGAGAGGAAGCCUGACAGGACUGCAGGCAACAGAGCCAUCAGAGCCAGUGGCUCCUGGGACAGAGGCAGCAUCACAGUUGUCAGGGCCUGCAAACUACCAUGUGAGGCUAGGACUGUGGAGAGCAAAGUGGUGGAGUGGGCUGCAGAGGGGCCCAGCCCUUGUGGUGAGCUUGGAGCUGCCUAUACAGCAGAUGGGGAACCAGGAAGUGGGCAGGGUGAGAGAGCUCUCAGAUCAGAAGGUAUGCUGGACACCCAUGGGGUGGCCUUCACUUGGCUGCUGCUUCAUCUUAGGUGCACUUCCAAGAAAGGCUUCACUCUCUGAGCCAUGGUACCUGUGACCAGGCUCCCCCGAAGGCUUUGGCCUCCUCUGAGAACCAAACGAGACUUUGUGCAGGUGCCCAGGACACACGCAGCCUUGGGGGACCACCUGCGGCCACCUCCCUAGUUCUCUCCCACCUCUGCCCUGCCUGGACAGAACCAACUGCAGUGGCUGAAAUAGAGGGCAUUCCUGACCAGCAGGCUUUUCUGCCUCUCCUGACACUUGCUUCUGCCUCAGCAAACAGGAGCAGAAACUCCAGGAAUGGGGGCCUCCUCACCCAGGCCAUGAGGAGCAUGGCCUGCAGCAUGGCUAUUCUGAGUGGUCUCACACCUGUCACUCUGGAGUAGUCCCAGCCCCACAUCACCUGUCCCAGGGAAUGAGGCAUCAAGGCCUUGUCCAGAUUUGCCUCAUAUCAGAGGGACAGAACCUAGAGAUCAGACUCACAGCUGGGUCACAGAGAUGCUCUGGGCUUUUCUUUGCCGACCUCAGACCCACGUUCGCCCACUGACAGCUGGAGAAGCUAACAGAAUACACAGAACCACUCUGAAGUCCUCAGAGAUGUACUAAGUGGUGAGGUCUGGAGACUGCUCCUUCUCAAGCAGUCCCCAGGGCUGAGAAGCUAAGCAGACCCUUGGAGCUUCCUCUAGUUAACAUCCAACGAGUCCCUGCUUUUUCCUUGACUCCUCAAGGGCCUCAGAAAGAGGAGGAGGGUGAGCCAUGAGCAGGCUGCCCUCAGCAUGAGCCCAGCCCCAGUCAGCUGGGCCCCACCCUCCUCAAGGAGAUGCCCUCCUAACACCUGCCAGAAACUAAAGUAAGCCCAGAGCUCAGAUUGCCAUGAUGGCUUUUCAUGAACAACAACCAGAAUUUCAGUCUAAAAUACCAGAGUUGAUCAGAAACAGAAACAGAUCUACCUUUUGGGAUUACCCGAAAGUUACUUUAAUAAAUAUCCAAUGUGAAAGAUACUAAAUGGAAAUUUUUUUAUCUUUAUUUAUCUAUUCAUUUUUUUUAUAUGGUGCUGAGGAUCGAACCCAGCACCUCGAAUAUGCUAGGCAAGCGCUCUACCACUGAGCCCCAGCCCCCUAAAUGGAAAUUUAAAAGAUUCAAAUGUGUUUUCUAGAGCUGAAAAACAAAAACCAGGAACACAAUAGAUGGUGCUAAGGUGUAAAUGUGUGUCCCCUUGUUGAGAUGGGCAAAGUUGCCACUUAUGCAGUCGAGAGGGAGAAAUAAAGAAUGUCCAUGUGCUUCUGCCCUUUUCAAUGUUUUGUUCACUCAAAUCACUCAAUACAAUUUCACUCUAUAGGUUUUUAAUCAAGAAAAUGAUGGUCCUUGAUGCUGGGCACUGCAAUAUUCAUAAUCACUUAACAACAAAUAAUUCUAAGUUAACUCUAAGCACUGCAAACACACCUAAUCAUGACCUAGUUAUUACAGACAUUCCCUCUGCAUGCUAAACUCAAGUGCCAGGUCUAGAGUCUCACGUCUUAGGCUUUUAAGUCCAGCAGAUGCAGUCACUCAGACCGCAGUGAUCAGAUCAGGAACCGAUGGAGGCUCCUGGUGUGGAGUUGGUGGCCAGUUGAGGGGAGCGUAAUAGGGAGAUGUCACCAUUCUCACCAGAGCAAAAAGCUAUAGAGUUUGAGAGAGGUGAGGAAGAUGCAGGGGAUCAGGCAAACGAUGAGAAGAGUGGGGAUGUUAGCCCAGGUCCUCAUCAGGCUUUCCGGCAUGUGGGCAUCAGUGUCAGCUGGCUGAAUGUUCAUUUGCUCCAUCAUUUAUACUAAAUUUUGGGGCUCCUUUCGGUCCCUGUCAGCUGUUACCAAGUUUCUUAGUGACAUCUUACAUUUUAGAGUCAGGACAUAUGGUUUGGUGAUUUUCCACCCUGAUCUUCUUAUACCUCUGACUCUUAUCAAGGUGAAGGCAAAUGAUAUGUGACUUCACCCUGACUCUUACCAGGGUUGUGGAAAGUGACUUGUCUUUAUCAGGCUAUGCCUAAUUGACAUAUCGGAGGGAUCUGUAGGCUGUGCCUGGUGGGAUUGCAGGUCUGUUUUAAAAUAUAGUUGCUUAGGCUAAGGCCAUACUUACAGUCAGGCUAAGGCCACCCUUACACCCCCCCCCCGCCCAAAUUCCUUUGUUGAAUAGCUUGAGGAGAUGGGGUCUAUGGGCAUAAAUGAAGGAAUUCAUACUUGUGACAGAGGAGGGCACUGUCCUUAGGAGGCCCCAGUGGGUCACUGUGGCACCUGCCUAUAAUCCCAGUACUCAGGAGGCCGAGGCAGGAGAAUCAAAAGUCCAAAGCCUGCCUAGGCAAUUUAUUGAGACUAUCCCAAAAUAAAAAAUGAAAAGGGUCUCGCACACAUCCCGCAUGAGUGAGGGAAAGGGUUCCCCUCCAGAGGGAUGGGCUGACUGAGAAAUAAAAGCUAAGAAAACAGUAGUAUGAAAUAAACACAGGACACAGAAAUAUAGUUUCAGAGCGGGGGCAGCAACAGGCCAAGCUGAACAUAGGGUUACGGCUUCUAGCAGAGAUGGAGCCUGCAUUUGCUUUAUUUAUAGCAGUACAGAUCAAAGGGGAUUGGGAGGAGUCUUGUCUGGUGCUUGCUUCUUCACGAAAAACAAGACGUGGUGCGGGUAGGCAGGCUGUUUGGCUCUUAACCACAGUCGUGACCUUCUCCUGGGUUGUGUGCAACCUUUUGGCAGAGCUGGGUGGGAGUUCACAUGUAUCAGACCAUCUCACCCGCAGGAGCGCCAGUGCAAGUUCCCAGACACCCGACCUUCCCACUCAGUAGCUUCAGUGCUGAUGUAGUCCACGCACAUUUCACGGAUGGCUUCCUGCAAAAAGGACUGUACCUCAGUGGAGGAGUACCCCUGGAUUUAAUCCCCGAUACCAUCACCACAACAACAAAAAGUAAAAGGUCAAAGAGAGCUCGAACCUCCCCUGGGUGAGAACACACAGCCAGGCAUCACCUGUGAAACAGGGAGGAGUCCUUAUCAGAUACUGGAUCUGUCUGUGCCAUGACUGGGUACUUCCAGCUCCAGAACUAAGUAAAUAUCUUGUUUUUAAACCACUCAGUCCAUGGAAUUUUGUUAUAGCAGUAUGAAUGGAUCAAAACAAUGGAUUUUAAAUUAGAUUAAACAUAGCUGAGAGGAGAAUUAGUAAAUUGGAAGACAGAUCAGAAGAAAAUAUCAAUUCUGAAGUAUAGAGAAGCCCGGGAUGGGAAAUACAGAACCCAGCAUGAAAACCACAGGAUGCAGGGUGAAAAGGAUUGUAAUUGAAUUCCCAAACUAGAAGAAAUAUAAUAAACAUAAUAUUUGAAAAGAUAAUGGUCAGGAUUUUACCAAAACUCAUAGAAGAUGUUGAGCCACAGAUUUAAGAAGUGCUACCCCUAAGUAUCCUGGGGUAGAGAGUGUGAAGGAGGGACGUGUUCUGCCCCCCAUCAUCUCUCCCCAGCAGUGUCCUGGGUCUGGCCCCUAGCUACAGCUGGUACCACCAUGGAUUCAGGACCUGUGCCAACCUUGGGCUCACAGCAGGCAGAGCAUGCAAAGACAUCAAGUCCACCAGCAGUACAGCACUGGGGCAGAGAGCAAAUGAAGCUAAGAGACCAAAUGUCCAGCAUGAACCCGCUGGGGGAGGGGCCAGGAUGUAAGCAGUAUAACUCCCAGGAGGCUGUGGGUACCCUUGGCCUAAUGCAGGCAUUAGUGGGUAGGUGGGGUAAAGGGAGGAUUCAUAGGAGCCUCUGGUGAGAAAUGGGGUCUUGAGUUGCUGGCAUAGUGUGCUGGUCUCACCUGGGACACUGGUGAACACCCCUAUACCCCCACACACACACACACACACCAACUGUGUGCUCAGUUGAGUGGUCCCUGGGAAGGCCCCUUUCUUUCUCAUGAUAGCUGCAAAUCUGUGCCUGGUGUUGGGCGGGUGUAGAGCAAUAUGGGCAGGAGAGCUCCUGGGAAAGAGUGCCACAGGGUUCAUAGGGAGCACCGCCUUGAUCAGGGAGGAUGCUGUGGGACCACCAUGCCAAGUAGUGAGAUGGGGCUAGCCUUCUCCACUGCUUCCCUGCAGGACCUCCUCACUUCGGUGGAACUCAGGCACCAAGGAGCGCAUGCUCAUCAAGGUCGCUGACAGGGAGCCCAGCUUCCUCACUCCUCAGGGCAAUGGCUACUCUUCAGAUGGCCAGCCUGGGAGCCGCCCCCGCAGACCCUCUGGCAGCCAGCAUUCGCCCAACCUACAGACAUUCACCCAGGACUCGGAAGGCGCUGUCUUCUUCCCUGAGAGGCGACCUUCGCCCUUCCUGAGAAGGGCUGAACUCUCCGGGAGCUGCUCCCCACUGCUCACGCAGCCUCGAAAGUCCUCCAGUGACUCACAGCCCUCUUCCCCACGCUAUGGCUAUGAGCCCCCUCUCUAUGAGGAGCCCCCUAUGGAGUAUCAGGCCCCCAUCUAUGAUGAGCCCCCCAUGGACGUACAGUUCGAGGCUGGUGGCCCCUACCAGGCUGGCUCCCCACAGAGGUCGCCCAGCCGCAAGCCCCGCCCCUUCUUGCCCGGGGCCAAGCAGGCCCCUGCCUCCCCCUGCCAGCAGCUGGUGCGCACUAAACAGAAGUGCCCUGAGCGCUUCCUGAGCCUGGAGUACAGUCCUGCAGGCAAAGAGUAUGUAAGGCAGCUGGUGUACGUGGAGCAGGCCGGCUCUAGCCCCAAGCUGCAUGCAGGCCCCCGGCACAAAUAUGCUCCCAACCCUGGUGGUGGCUCCUACUCACUGCAGCCCAGCCCUUGCCUGCUGAGGGACCAACGCCUAGGGAUCAGGUCUGGAGACUACAGCACCAUGGAGGGACCCGAGCCCCGGCUGAGCCAACCACCCACACCACUGCCCCCAGCCCAGGAGGACACCAUGUCUUGGUCCAGCCAGCAGGACACCAUGUCUUCCACGGGCUACUCCCCAGGCACACGUAAGAGGAAGAGCAGAAAGCCCUCUCUGUGCCAAACUCCUGGCGCCCCCUCCACGGAUGGCCCAGGGGACCUACUGGGUGAGCAGCCUCUGGCUGAGGAGCGCUCUCCAUGUGGGCCCAGCCUUGCCCAGAUGAAGCGUGCAGAGGCUGAAGUGGACGUAGCACGGGGUAUGGCCGAGCCUUUCCUGGCACAGGCGCAGCUGGCCUGGGAGGCACAGCAGGCCCACUUUCACAUGAAGCAGAGGGGCAGCUGGGACUCCCAGCAGGAUGGCUCUGGCUACGAGAGUGAUGGUGCUGUGCCACUACCCAUGCCCGGACCUGUGGUACGUGCCUUCAGUGAGGAUGAGGCACUGGCGCAGCAGGAUAGCAAGCAUUGGAAGCGGAAUACUUUCGAGAAGCUCGGCUUCCCCCAGAUCCUGCUGGAGAAGAGCGUCUCUGUGCAGACCAACUUGGCCUCACCAGAACCUUACCUCCACCCCUCACAGGUGAGGAGUACUUGGUGGGCAGAUGGGGACCCUGGGCCCAUAAGACCCCCAAGUCCCAGCCUAGAGCCUGGGAUCAGCUGCAGGCAGAAUGGGGCUGGGUGCACCUGGCAUCCACAAGGUGUGUGUGGCACUGAGCGUGUUCAGAGCCUGGCCUCUGAACGUCCAGCACACCACUGGCAGGGAGGGCAUCUUCACGGAACACCCCACUCAGGCCACCCACCACCAGGCAUAGGGCUUCCUGGACCUUGGCCACCAGGGAGUUUCAAGCCUUGCCUACGGGACACAGCAGCUGAGGGCAACUGGCAGCCAGCUCUGGGACUAUUGUACUCCUGGGGAGCUGGGCAGGUGGGGCAUCAGCAUUCUUUGGUGGCUCUGGAACUAUCUCCAAGCACGUCUCCCUCAGGCAGGAAGAGCUGCUAGUGAGGUAGUGACUGGGUGGUUGCCAGACAUCACAGCCAGAGCUGGAGCCCAAGCCCAAGCCCAAGCCCAGCCUGCUGUGUCCUCCCCAUACAGUGCCAGAGCACACAUCAGUCAGUGCCCCACAGAGCCCACGAGUACCUCUGUUCAGCAGCAGGUACCUGAGUGUCCACCUGCAGGUCUUCCCUUCUGGAGAUCACCAGGCAAUUCAGAUUUGAUGGCUCUAAUGUCCUCAUUCCCACUUCUAGCUUCCACCUUUCACACUGGUUGACUAGAGACACAGGCCAAGCCUGAGGGUGACCUGGAAUCUGGUUGGUUUGCUUAGUGGGCCCAGGUUCCAAGGAAGUUAAAGUGAAAAUCUUAAGGCCUCCUGGACAUGUAUGGCAGGCCCACCUUUGCCCUGCUGGGGAAGGCCUCUGUGACCUGUGGGUAGCCAGCUUCCCAGGCCCUUCAGGCUAGUGAGCUCAGAGCCACAUCCAGCCAGACUUUCCAUCCACUGCUCAUAAACUGGUAGGAUGACAGGGCAGAUGGGAGAGGCAACCUUGGGAAACAGUGAGCAGACAGAAAGCUACCUCUAAUGGAAUGGGCAGGUCAAGAGCAGAGCAGAGGGAGAGACCUGCAGAGGCCAGGCCCACUGGGGUCCUGCAGAGAUGGGAGCAGGGCUCGAGAGCCACCCCUGCCUGUCCCUGCCCUCUCUCCCUGGGUACCUGACAGUGCAGCUGUCCUGCUGCCACCCCACCUGGGGUUUUGAAGCUCAGCUUCUUGCUAUGUUAGACUGGCCACGCCACACCUGGCUGGCUCACACCUCUUGGGACUGUGAUCCAAGUGGGCCCAGCUGCCCACUCCAUCCCUACCCCCGAUGGCACAGCCCAUUUGUCCUUCCCAGUCUGAGGACUUAGGAGCCUGUGCCCAGUUUGAGAGCAGCCGGCAGAACCGUAGCGCGAUGCCCAGCUCCAGCUGUGUCUUCCCCACCUUCACGCUGCGCAAGCCCUCCUCAGAGACGGACAUCGAGAACUGGGCCUCCAAGCACUUCAACAAGCACACCCAGGGCCUCUUUCGACGGAAGGUGUCCAUCGCCAACAUGCUGGCCUGGAGCAGUGAGUCCAUCAAGAAGCCCAUGAUUGUGACCAACGACCGGCAUGUGAAGAAAGAGGCCUGUGAGAUCUUCAAGCUGAUCCAGAUGUACAUGGGCGACCGGCGGGCCAAGGCAGACCCACUGCAUGUGGCCCUCGAGAUUGCCACUAAAGGCUGGAGCGUGCAGGGCCUCCGGGAUGAGCUCUACAUCCAGCUGUGCAGGCAGACCACCGAGAACUUCCGCCUCGAGAGCCUGGCCCGUGGCUGGGAGCUCAUGGCCAUCUGCCUGGCCUUCUUCCCGCCCACACCCAAGUUCCACUCCUACCUAGAGGGAUACAUCUACCGGCACAUGGACCCUGUCAAUGACACCAAAGGUAAGACCCAGUGUGCAGGACCCUUGGCACCCCUAGGGUCUGCUGCAACUGAGGUAAGGGCUGUGGAGAGGGCUCCCAGCCAUUCUGGGCAACACCCGCCCAGUCCCCUAUCCUCACACCCCACCAGACCUGGCACCACAUAGGAGUGGUACUUCUAAGAAGAUGCAUGUCCCCUAGGAGACCCCACACCCAGCUUUCAGUGGUUUGUGGGCAUCCUCAGGGAACCCUACCUUGGCUCUGAGAAGAGCCCUAGGCAGCCCUGGCAGAUGAGGGCAUAUGGCCUGCCCUUUGAUGCCUGCCCAGUUUGGCUUCUGUCACCCUGCAGUAUAAGGGCAGCUGCACCGUGAGGCUUAAGCUGUGUAUUCUAGGCAGGGAGGGGCAUGGUGGCCACAGUGCAUCUGCCACAACUCAAUCACAGGCUUCCCACACACAAGUCUGUGGAGAUCAGCUGGUCUCCAGGGCACUAUGAGCUGAGCUGCCCUGAGGGCCAGAGGUUCAGGCCAGCACAGGUGUCCACUUGCUGAUGGCUGCCAGGUGUCAAAUAGAAGGCCCCCAGAUGGGAUGCACUAGGUCUGUCGGGCCCAGGCCGUGGUGUUUCAGCUGGGCAGUCCCCAUGUGAUAAACUAGUGGCUGGCCCAAGCCCUGGGAUGGACAGAGUGGGCAUGGGGCAAGGAUACAGGCAGUCCCAGCUGUAGCAGGCUGUGUCCCACAUGAUGCUCGUGAGCAUCUGUAGGACACAGCCGUAGCAUUGACGGCCAGACACGCAUACUUGUGUUCAGGUACACGUACAUGUACAGAUGCAUCCCUGCCAGGGCGGACAUGUUAGCUCUUCUGGGUUGUCCAGCCUCUGCUGAGGUGGAAACUGUGCUCCCUUCUAGGCCUUGCCCCCAGCUCAGGCAUGGGAAAGGCAGCUCUCAGGCUGCCAUGGGGCCCUCAGUGUGCAUGCAAACUUGAGGGAGGGGGUUCUGGAGAAGGUAUGUCAGGCACAGGAACCACCAGCUCCUCAGACACUUGUAAACAGUUUUGGAAAACAUGCUAUUCCUGCCCAUGUGUGCACCUGCAACACACAUUGCAGCAGAUACAGACUGACCUGGGGCCUGGACUGCACUGGGGCCUCAGGGACCCCAUUCCUUGAUCUUCUUGGACCUCUCUAGGCACUGGUAUAGUCCUGGGGCUUCCUAGGUCACCAUCUUGCCUUCUUGAGAAAGGGCCUUGACAUGCACCUUGACAUGGGAGCUGUAGGAAUGUGUCUGCACUGCUCAGGACAGCACUGGGCCCACAGAUCCGAGAGCCUGCUGAGUGAAAACCAAGUGAGUGGGCAGUAGUUGGCAAACAGUCAGAGGCCUGGGUUCCUUGCUCUGCCUGGGCCAGCUGACCAGCAAGUAUGUGGCUGGGCCGUCCCGCCAUCCAGGGCUUCCCAGAAGAGUUUGUGCUUUAGGCCCCAUGGAGGAGCCCCCAGGAUCUCCCACAUACAAAGGUACGCAUACUUUUCUCUUAGAGUCGCACACCCACAGGGCCCUGUGUUGCACGUCAGAGGGAAGCAGGCUCAGCUUUGAGGCUCCUAUGUAAGGCCCACAAGGUCUCAGAGGACCAUGUGGGCUACAGGGGGAUGGGCUCUGUGUGGUUCUGCUAGCAUUCAAACUGCCCUCACAGCCAAAACCCCAUCUCUAGUACUGGGGACCCCAACCUAGAUUUGCCUGUCCAAGGUUGUACUCCACCCUGAGCCCAGAGAAGAGACUUCUACACACAAGGUGGCCGCCCCUUCUUCAAUAGGCCUCAUGUUCACUCCAGACAGCGCACAGUCCCUGGGAGAUGCCAGUUUCCACAUGUAAGAAAUAUUGGUCAAAAAUGUGGUACUGCUGGGGGUGGUAGUGACACCUAUAAUUCCAGCUACUUAGGUGGCUGAGGCAGGAGAAUCACAAGUUCAAAGCCAGACUCAAUAACUUACUGAGACCCUGUCUCAAAAUAAAAUAAAAAAGGUUGGAAUUGUAGCUCAGUGUAGUAGUGUGUCCCUGGGUUCUAUCGUAGUACUGAGAAUAAAAAUAAAGAAAGAACAUGGGUCCUGGCUGCCUUAUCAGCCCAGAAAGAUGUAGACCAUGCUCUGGAAGACCAACCAGUUGACCACAUAGCACCUAGAAGAAUGAGACCACAGCAGAGGGACCCAUGAUGAGGGAAGUGCUCGGCUUGGCUCCUGGACCUGGCACUGGCCCUGGCCCCGGCCCCGGCCCCGAACCCGAACCACUUGCCUUGGCCUCAGGAAACUUGAUCAACUUGUUUAUCAGCAUUCGUGUGACCUCCACUCUGUGAUCACCAUCCCAGGACCAAGGUACUAUGAGGUAACCCCCAUUUAACCUGUGUCAGGCACUAGGAGGUUCUCCUGGUUGUCCUCAGGAGCCCCUCAGUUAGACUAACCCAGAUGGGGAGGGUGCUUGGCCCUGGAUCAGGAAGCUACAGGAGCCAGGUGUGUGGAACACACCUGUGGUCCCAGCAACCUGGGAAGCUGAGGCAGGAGGAAGGACUAGGCAGGUGGCUCAGUGGUGAAACACCCCUGAUUCAAUUUCCAGUACCCCGCCCCCCAUAAAAAAAAAAUAAGAAAAAGAAAUUGCGGGAGAAGUCCUGCAAAUGCCAUGGGAGACUGAAGCCUGGAGGGAUUCUAGUGCUGCCGAAGCUUGUGCUCUCGGUGAGACUUCUGGCAAAGCACAACAGGAAGUUAGCAAAAGGGCGGAGAUGAUGAAGAUGGUAGUAGAAACCAACACAAGGGAACACAGAACAGUGGCUGAUGAAACAAAAAACUGAUUCUUGGGUAAAUCUACAGCCAAACUGACAAGGACAAAAUGAGAGAAGAAAUGAAUCACCAAAACCAAGAGUGAGAGGUCCUGCCACUGCAGGCCCUGCAGGUGCUGAAGGGGUAGCAAUCAGGUAUAGUGAACCUUUUGCUAAGGAAUUCAAAAUGGACAGAUUCCUCAGGUGACCCAGGCUGCCAGAGGUCACUCAAAGAGAAACAGAAAAGUUAUAUGUCCAGUAAGGAGAUUGCAUUUGUACCUAAAAAUCCAGGCCUAAAUGGCUUCACUGGUGAAUUCUACCAAACACUUUAUUGUUUGUGCAGCAAUUCUGUGGAAUGUCUCCCAGAAAAAUGAAGUGGAGGGCUGGGGUUGUGGCUCAGAGGUACAGCACUCACCUAGCAUGUGUGAGGCACUGGGUUCCAUCUUCAGCACCACAUAAAAAAGAUAUUGUGUCCACCUAUAACUAAAACAUAAAUAUUAAAAAAAAAUGAAGUAGAGAGAAUGUUUCCUGAUUCACUCAUGCUAAAAUUAGAGAAGAACAUUAUAAGAAAGAAUCCCUCAUGAACAAGGAAACAAAAAUUUUAGCAAUAUUUUAUCAGGUUGAGUACAACAGUAUAUAAAGGAGAUAAUAUAUCUUGACCAAGUGAAGUUUAUCCUAGGAAUCGAGGAACGAAAGAUAGGUUUAGCCAGGGGUAGUGGCAUACACUGUCAUUUCAGUGACUCAGGAGAAUCUCACAUUCAAGGUCAGUCUCAGCAAUUUAGCAAGGCUCUGUCUCAAAAUAAAAAAUAAAAAGGACUGGGAAUAUACCUCAGUGGUAGAGCACCUCUGGGUUCAAGGUUCAAGCCCCAGUAUGGGGGGAGGGGAGCAAUCAAUGGAAAAUGGAAACCAUUUUAACAAAGUAAAAAAGAGUAUAUCAUCUCAUAAAAUCCAACAUUCCAUUCUUGAUCAAAACUGAACAAACUUAGAAGAUAAUCUCUUCACCCUGAUUAAAGGCAUCUAUUAAAAACCUACAUGGGCCAGGGUGUGUGGCUCAGUGAUGGAGUUCUUGCCUAGCAUGAGAGAGGCCCUGGCUCACUCCUCAGCAACUCAAAACCAAAAAAACAACUACAGUACCCAAAGGGAUUUAAAGAAGGUUUCAGACACACUUGCACAUGUUCACAGCAGCACUGUUCACAGCAGCCAGUAGGUGGAAGUGGUCCAGGGUCCACCCACUGAGGAAUGGUGAGCACAUGUGGCAGAGCCAUGCAGAGGACAUCAUUCACCCGAAGAAGAAUGACACUCGAUAGGUGCUGCAGCAUGAGUGGACUUAAAACACGUCGAAGAUAAGAGCCAGACCCACAGUGGCAAACCUGGUAUGCUACCACUUACCUAUAACUGGAACAGACAAACUGAUACAGAAAGCAAGGUCAGGCAGAGUGAGAGGAGAGAGAGAUUGCUUAAUAGGUAUUGAGAUUUAGCUUUGGAAGAUGAAAGGGUUUUGGAAAUUUGGUGACAGUUGCAUAGCAUUGUGAAUGUAGUUAAUGCCACUGAAUGGUACUUAAAAAAUGGUUCAGUGGCCAAACUUAUGUUUAUAUUUUAUCACAAUUUAAACACACACACACACACACACACACACACCCCUCAUACUUACUAGCCAAAGACUGAAUGCUUUCCCCUAACAAGAGGAGCAGAGCUCGGACCUUCAGUUAUACCCGCUGUGCACAGCAUCACACUGGAAGUUGAAGCUGGAUCUCAAUCAUGAUAAGAGAUAAAAGUCACACACCUUGGAGAGGAGGUAUGCAGUGGUUUUUAUUCACAGACAGUAUGAUCUGCAGAAUACUACUGGAAGAGUAUUCUAUAUACUGAAUUUAUUACAAGAUACAGGACCAAUACAUUAAAAUUUUAUCAAUUUGUAUAUACUAGCAACAAGCUAUAGGAAACUGAUAUUUUAAAAAUACCAUUUACAGUAGCAUUGACAAGUAUGAUAUACUGAGAGAACUCUAACAAAAGAUGUGUAAGACCUCUAUGCUGAAAAGUACAAAACAUUACUGAAAGAAAUAAAUAAAUGGUGAAACAUACCAUGUUUAUGGAUCUGAAACUCAGUGUUGUUAAGACGUCAUUUCCAUCCAAAUUGAUCUAUAGAUUCAACCCUAAUCAAAAUUUAAUUUUUGAUUUUUUUAAUUUUAGAAAGUGACAUGCUGAACUGGGGGCAGUGGUACAUAACUAUCACCCCAGCUGCUUGGGAGGCUGAGGCAGGAGGAUUGAAAGUUUGAGCCCAGCUUGAGCAACUUAGCAAGACCCUGUGGGGAUGUAGCUCAGUGAUAAAGCAACCCUGGAUUCAAUCUCUGGUGCAACAAUAACAACAAAAAGACUGAUUCUAAAGUUCAUGGG
RNAcentral lists this long non-coding RNA (31391 nucleotides) under Marmota monax (woodchuck). The record is from RNAcentral. Lineage: Eukaryota; Metazoa; Chordata; Mammalia; Rodentia; Sciuridae.